This 254-nucleotide ribosomal RNA is filed under the name uncultured bacterium. Its description in RNAcentral is "partial 16S ribosomal RNA". It matches the Rfam family "Bacterial small subunit ribosomal RNA", at positions 524 to 776 of the family's 1533-position model. The record is from RNAcentral.
UACGGGGGGGGUAAGCGUUGUUCGGAAUUACUGGGCGUAAAGGGCGCGUAGGCGGCCUGUGCAAGUCAGUUGUGAAAUCUCCGAGCUUAACUCGGAACGGUCAACUGAUACUGCUCGGCUAGAGUGCGGAAGGGGCAACUGGAAUUCUUGGUGUAGCGGUGAAAUGCGUAGAGAUCAUGAGGAAGACCAGUGGCGAAGGCGGGUCUCUGGACAGUUCCUGACACUGAGGCACGAAGGCCAGGGGAGCAAACGGG